GAUGAACGCUGGCGGCGUGCCUAAUACAUGCAAGUCGAGCGAACAGACGAGGAGCUUGCUCCUCUGACGUUAGCGGCGGCCGGGUGAGUAACACGUGGAUAACCUACCUAUAAGACUGGGAUAACUUCGGGAAACCGGAGCUAAUACCGGAUAAUAUAUUGAACCGCAUGGUUCAAUAGUGAAAGACGGUUUUGCUGUCACUUAUAGAUGGAUCCGCGCCGCAUUAGCUAGUUGGUAAGGUAACGGCUUACCAAGGCAACGAUGCGUAGCCGACCUGAGAGGGUGAUCGGCCACACUGGAACUGAGACACGGUCCAGACUCCUACGGGAGGCAGCAGUAGGGAACCUUCCGCAAUGGGCGAAAGCCUGACGGAGCAACGCCGCGUGAGGGAGGAAGCUCUUCGGAUCGUAAAACUCUGUUAUUAGGGAAGAACAAAUGCGUAAGUAACUAUGCACGUCUUGACGGUACCUAAUCAGAAAGCCACGGCUAACUACGUG
This 497-nucleotide ribosomal RNA is filed under the name uncultured bacterium. RNAcentral describes it as "partial 16S ribosomal RNA". It matches the Rfam family "Bacterial small subunit ribosomal RNA", at positions 28 to 507 of the family's 1533-position model. The record is from RNAcentral.